GCAACAUCAUCAGAGAAAGAUGGCGAGUCGCUGUACAAGAGGGUGAAAAUCAAUAGGCUAAUUAAUAUUUUUAAGAAUGAUCCAAUAAUUCCUGCAUUCCCAGAUCUUCAUCUUUCUCCUGCUGCAAUUUUGAAAGAAUUGGCAAUGUACUUUCAGAAGUUUUCUUCACAGACUCGUCUUCUCACCCUUCCAGCACCUCAUGAAUUUCCACCCCGAGAGGCACAAGACUAUCAGAGACAGUAUCUGAUUGUCAAUCACAUAGGAGCUAUUCGUGCAGAGCAUGAUGAUUUUGCAAUUCGUUUUGCUUCAUCGUUGAAUCAGCUGUUGUUGUUGAAAUCAACAGAUGGUGCAGAUAUUGAGUGGUGCAAAGAAGUCAAGGGAAACAUGUAUGAUAUGGUUGUUGAAGGUUUCCAGCUCUUAAGCAGAUGGACAGGG
This 435-nucleotide unclassified non-coding RNA is filed under the name Hevea brasiliensis (rubber tree). Lineage: Eukaryota; Viridiplantae; Streptophyta; Magnoliopsida; Malpighiales; Euphorbiaceae. The record is from RNAcentral.